GCUUAAGAUUGAUAGUCUCUCGGCUUCUUCUCUUUGCUUAUGUUCUUUCUGAUCUCUUCAAAGUAGUAGUUUGCUCAGGUGAUGGGAAAAAAAGAUAGUUUGUCAGAGAGAAGAGAUUCUGCAAAAGCUGAAGAGGAAGAACAUGUCAAGGUGUAUAAAUUGGUACUAAAAUUGUGCGCAGGUUGUUGUUCCUGAUUCGCUGAUGUUUGAGCUCAUUUAAGGUGAGUAAAUGCUAUCAAAAGACAGCUGACAGAGGGAUGUCAAUCUAAGGUUAUUGUGAGCAACAUUACCAGCCAUAUCCUUACUUGAUCAAGUUUCUGAUUUUUGUUAACUCAAUGUCAAAGUUUCAUUGUAAUGUCAACACGCAUGCCUAAAUGUUUCUACAUAUGUAAAUAUUAUAGAGUAGAAAUUGUCAAAUAAUGUUGAGCAUUCCAUUCACAAACCCGCAACAAAGUGCGGAGAAGCUAUCUAGUAAAAUCCAUCGAGAUCAUAAUGGAAAUUUUUACU
Argentina anserina (silverweed cinquefoil) is the source of this 507-nucleotide long non-coding RNA. RefSeq lists it as uncharacterized. The transcript has 4 exons. NCBI's taxonomy places the organism in Eukaryota, Viridiplantae, Streptophyta, Magnoliopsida, Rosales, Rosaceae. The record is from RefSeq and is a predicted model, not a curated record.